This 117-nucleotide non-coding RNA is filed under the name Homo sapiens (human). Lineage: Eukaryota; Metazoa; Chordata; Mammalia; Primates; Hominidae. The record is from Rfam by way of RNAcentral.
GCUGGGCAUGGUGGUGCACGCCUGUAAUCCCAGCUACUCGGGAGGCUGAGGUGGGAGGAUCACUUGAGGUCAGGAGUUCGAAACCAGCCUGGCUAACAUGGUGAAACCCCGUCUCUA